AUUGAACGCUGGCGGCAUGCCUUACACAUGCAAGUCGAACGGUAACAGGUCUUCGGAUGCUGACGAGUGGCGAACGGGUGAGUAAUACAUCGGAACGUGCCCGAUCGUGGGGGAUAACGAGGCGAUAGCUUUGCUAAUACCGCAUACGAUCUACGGAUGAAAGCGGGGGAUCUUCGGACCUCGCGCGGACGGAGCGGCCGAUGGCAGAUUAGGUAGUUGGUGGGAUAAAAGCUUACCAAGCCGACGAUCUGUAGCUGGUCUGAGAGGAUGAUCAGCCACACUGGGACUGAGACACGGCCCAGACUCCUACGGGAGGCAGCAGUGGGGAAUUUUGGACAAUGGGCGAAAGCCUGAUCCAGCCAUGCCGCGUGCAGGAUGAAGGCCUUCGGGUUGUAAACUGCUUUUGUACGGAACGAAAAGCCUCUUUCUAAUAAAGAGGGGUCAUGACGGUACCGUAAGAAUAAGCACCGGCUAACUACGUG
Molecule: ribosomal RNA, 482 nt
Filed under: uncultured bacterium
Lineage: Bacteria
Description: partial 16S ribosomal RNA
Rfam family: Bacterial small subunit ribosomal RNA
Source: RNAcentral